Sinocyclocheilus rhinocerous is the source of this 243-nucleotide long non-coding RNA. RefSeq lists it as uncharacterized. Lineage: Eukaryota; Metazoa; Chordata; Actinopteri; Cypriniformes; Cyprinidae. The transcript is spliced from 3 exons. The record is from RefSeq and is a predicted model, not a curated record.
AAAAUCUACAUGAAAUUAUAUCUACCCUUUGCUCCACGGUUAAAAAUGAUAAAGACUAGUGAAAACUAUUUUUCACUUAAAGAACUAAAUUAACAAGCACCAUAAAUUUGCUUAAUGGAUAACUACACUAUGCAUAAUCCUGAAGGAAGAAUAAUCCUACACGACCCAUAAUGCUGAAAUUAUCCUCAUGGAAAAUCUUCAUUUUAAUGGUUGGUAUAACAGCACUAGAGAACUCACCGAAAU